Non-coding RNA from Picea glauca (white spruce), 64 nucleotides. NCBI's taxonomy places the organism in Eukaryota, Viridiplantae, Streptophyta, Pinopsida, Pinales, Pinaceae. The record is from Rfam.
ACCCAAUAAUGAAAGUAAACCCGUAGAUAGGAAGUGUCGUAUGACACUUAAGUGCAGUUAAUCC